AUACAUAUGUGUGUCAAUUAAGUUUUCCGUCAUCCAGCAGCGGCUUAAUGUCUGCCGGAGUCGGCGUAUCACGCUAACAUGACAUCAUGGCCAAAAUUGUUAAUCGGCAGCAUGUGUGUGUGUUUGUUAUUUCUUCCAUCACUCAGCGACCAGUUUCACCCGCCAUCACCAAAAUUCAUACACACAUCUAACUCUAAUUCGUAAUCUGGUAAUUUUUGUUUUGAUGAAACACAUUUGCAGCUACAGACAUUUCGUUUAAAUAUUGGCACUGGUCAUUUGUGAAUGUCUAAACCGAGAAAUCGGCAUUAUUCAAUUAGAAAAAAAUAUUAAUUUAUUACAAUCAAGCGCAUACAACUAAUCGAAAAGCGUAGACAAGCAAGCAGGAAGCAUAAAAAGUUGAAAAUGCAAUUAAUGGAAGGAAAUUGUAGGAGCACAUGACAGGAAAUUUGUUUGAGUUUCGUCUUAAAAACGCGCCAUUAUUCCUUUUUCGGUCUUCCCAAAAAAAUUAAGUUUUAUAGUGGACGAAUAAGUUAUAAAAUGAAAUUAAUUAUAAACACCCAUGGUAUUUAUUUAAUGUGAAAUAUAGUCGAACCACUAUUUUUCGACAGCCAUUUUGAUCAUCUGUGGAAAGACUUGAAUCAAUAUGGGAAAAUAGGUUUUUCUUUACUAAUAUCACUGAUCUUCCUUUAUAAUUACUCUGGGGGUGUAUGUUGUGUAGUUUUGUGAUUUCCGCCUAGCAACCACGUUACCCGAUACAAACCAUGGUUCCUGGACUAAAGCCAUAUCGUAGCCGCCCUUCUCUAAAUUGAGAAGAAGCUCGGCAAAGGCGAUCUUACUUUUGUGGAGGUUCACUUGGAGCACCCUCAGCUCUUGGUUUUGGACCAUCAGACUGUGAACAGUGACAAGUGGGGUAGUCAUGUGACCUCUUCUAUGCGGAAAUCCUUUUCUACUUCACCCGCCUACAACGCGAUUUUAUUGCCGUCCGAUGGAAUACUGCUGCGGGCUAUCACCUCCUGUUUAGUUCCUUCCCACAGGUUUGGAAGCGUUCCGAUCGCUUCCCUUACCCAUGUUAGCGUCGUGUCGUUGUUACAUUUUAAAACGUUAAAAUUAUACUAAGCCAUCCUAUUCUAUCAAAUGAUUCUCGAGAAGAAGGCUUCCAAUAGCUUCAUUUCCACUAUUUUCCACCGCUCCUGUGACAUUUGUCCCAGCGGAUUACUCUGGUCUAUGCCGUUUUGCAAUCUCAUUGGCUGCCGCCGCUGCCUUGGACGUUGUGGGUUUGUCCGCGUGCUUGGCGUCUAGCAUCCCGGCUAGGCCUGUACAAUUCGUCUUUUCCAGAGGGCCAUUCGCCUCAUUACACCGAAUUCGAGUGGCGAAGUGUGUCGGCCGUUCUUUACCUCCUCUCUAGCCCAGGCCAGCCGUUUCACUUCCUUUUCCUUCAGGCUGGACUGGCCCUCGAGACGGUUGCAUAUUCCCAUCGCCGACAGGAGAGUGAAGAAGCUCUUGUUUUCUUUUCCGCGUCAAAGUUUACAACGCUUUCUUAGUACGAGUCUUCGUGGACUGUGGCACCUGUGCGCUGUUAAGCUAGUUUGGCAGUAGUCUGCUCCUGUUGCAGUGGAGGUGUGGCCGCUGGCGACACAGCUCCUAAGAGUGCUGUGCCCGACGGUGGUAGCAGCCUCGUCUACUACCGUCGCUUUCGUUCCUUUAUUGUUCUUCAUGUUUAUCGGGACUCUCUAGCAAUGGCAAUGGCCGUUGUAUUACCCAUUUACCUACUUCUUAGGAGUCGCCUGUUUGCAAUGUAAUGACUCUGACAGAAGCCGGCUUGAGAUCAUGACAUUGUAAGCAGCGACAAAAUUGCCUAGUCGCGUGGAGGUUACAGCUAAGAUGAUUUUUGCCGACCCACUUAUCGGUUAAAUCGCCGGUUAAUUACCCAUAACGCUAGCAAAGUUUCCCGUUAAAGUUUCUAUAAGCCCAAUAGACCUAACCGAAACUCUUGUGUACAUGAAAUCGUUUCUUCCUUACUUACGCAAAGGCCUUGUAAGUUGCACGGUGCAUAUGCAAAGUGACCUUACUCCACAGGUUAUAUUAGUUGUCCAAUUGCGGGAUCUUAUAACAUAUUGGCUACUAUUAAACUAUUUACCUCACCCUACCCUAUAAUAUGCUUACCGAGCUGCUCCUAUAACUUCAGCAACAAUUUCAUUUUUAAUCUUGAUUGUCAUUUAGAUCAGCCUUCGGUAAAAAUAACGCGCAAAAACGAGGAGAUGAUUCUUACACUUUACAGUAAUAUAUUGACUUCAAUUAAAAGUACUAUUUUCAAAGUAUAUUUUACAUGUGUAUUGUAUCUAUGUACUUGUUAUAUGCAUACAUUUGUUAGAAACGUCGACCGAUGGCGACGAUCGCACAUUUAAUUACGAUUCAAUUUUUACAAUUAUUAAAGCAAUGACAAUUGUAAUGAAACACAAAAUAAAUCACAGACGCUAUAACCCAUACGUAAGCUAACGAGGUCUAUUGCUUCGUAUAUUCAUACAUACAUACAUGCAAACACAGAGUUGUACGAGUGGUCCAAUAAGCAAUUUAAAGUCAAGUAACUUUAAGGAAGAAGGAAAUUGUUAAAGUCAUGCUCAAUCAUCAACAACAACAGCAAAAACAUCGGCUUCAACAGAUUUGAACUCAGCCUUUUGUAGUUUUAUCACGUAUUUAUUUGAAUUUUCUUUUUUGGUUCGGUUGGCUUAACAUCAGAUAAUCAAAACUUCAUAAGUACAAACAUAUUGUACUUGUAUUAGUGCCGGUUGAUUUACAAGGAGCCAACAAAAAACAACACAAAAAGUGUCGCAUGCGGGAUAUAUUCUAUGGAGCAUUUUGAACAAUUUUACCUAAGGAACCGUGGGUCUAAAACCAGCGAUUUUAAGGCAAAGUUUUUUAGCGAUCAUAAAAAUUUGAGCGUCAGUUUUUGAGAUAUACGACUGAAAUUUAUUACGCAGGCGCACUUUGAUAUUCCAUUGAUCAUUUGUUGGAAUCGGCGAAAUCGGACAACUAUAUCACAUAUCUCCCAUACUAACAAUUAUUCACAUUUUUUAAACUUCGCCUUAAAAAUCGCUGAAUCGAAACCAAUUUUAGAUUUUAGUUGCUUUGGUUUUAAUUUCUUAGGAAAAGUUAUUCAGUA
Long non-coding RNA from Bactrocera dorsalis (oriental fruit fly), 3160 nucleotides. RefSeq lists it as uncharacterized. The transcript has 2 exons. Lineage: Eukaryota; Metazoa; Arthropoda; Insecta; Diptera; Tephritidae. The record is from RefSeq and is a predicted model, not a curated record.